This is a long non-coding RNA of Dreissena polymorpha, 2391 nucleotides long. RefSeq lists it as uncharacterized. NCBI's taxonomy places the organism in Eukaryota, Metazoa, Mollusca, Bivalvia, Myida, Dreissenidae. The transcript is spliced from 3 exons. The record is from RefSeq and is a predicted model, not a curated record.
CUUGUUAGGGCAACCAAACAUGAAUUGUCUUUAAAUUGUCUACCAGUGCACAUUAAGGUCUUAUUGGCCAUCGUGAAUGUUAAUGGGCUUAUGGCAAGAUGAAGGGAAUCAUAGCUUUAGUGUUCGUUUGUCUUCUUUCGGAUUUAACAGGUUAUUUCGUGGACACAGACCGGAUUCACCGUCUGGAAACGGUACUGCAUCAGUCAAGAUGACAUACGGUACUAAAGUAGUGGAGACAACUACAGCUGAUGACGCUAUUCUGACCGUGACAGCAAUUCCCACCGGCACGUACACAUACGCUUUAACAGUCACUGGGAACCCUGGUAGCGUGGGAAAUAUUGCGACGGCAUCGGCUGCCUCUGAAGCGAUUACACUUGCUUCAACAAAAUCCAUGGAUUACGAAACAACGAAGUCCAUUUUUUUCGUCGUUACCUAAGUCUUUCUGAAAUAGAUAAUGUCCUUCUGAAUAUAUUUUAUAUAUUAUUUACUGUUAUUGAAUUAUUUUGUUAAUUGUUGUACUGAUAUAGCAUGUGAAGGAUGCAAAUUGUUGCCUGUUUGCUUUGAAUACGAUGUUUAAUAUAAAUUUGCAUCAAUUUCAUUUAUCAGUAUUAGUUAAACACUUAUUGACUCGUAUGCAAAAAAAGAAGUCCCGAUCAUGAGCACAAUUCAAACAGUAAAGGUCAACAUUUCAUAGGCAAAUGUCGAUGAGUCAAAAUUACUUAAGCAGUAUCUCUGUUGAUCGCGUUAAGUGAGUUUUCCGUCCAAUAAACCUCUCUACGUCAAAUUAAUGUUAUGAUACAAUUUUUGGAGGAUAAUCGCUUACAAGCAGCAUCAAGGACAUGUGUUUAUGUCAUUUCAAUAUUUAAAUUCAAAACUUAAUUGUGUUAUACACUGUAUGAUAAGACAUUCCUAUGGCAAAAAACGUGUAUUAUUGACUGAUAAACAACGUUUAGUUGACAAUUACAAUUUGCUUCAACUAUAAAUUGUUGGCAUGCUGGUUUCGACAUUUGAUUUGCUAUGUUAUCAUUAAAUAUCCUCAACAGAACAUGAACAAUUUCUCAAGCAAAUGGCGGAACAUUACCAAGUAAUUGUUUGUAUAUUCUUAAUAAUAUGUAACUAAAAUGACAAUUUGCACUGCCAACUCAAUCUAAGCAACGUAACGCUACAGUACAGAUAUUUUAAGUUGGGAUUAACAACCGUCUUUAAACGUAAAACUCAUCUUUGUUGGUACAACAAAAGAGGCCAGCACGUGAAAUUAUGGUAAUGUCACAGUGUUCAAUAACACGGGUUUUCUAAACAUUUGCAAUACAUUUCUUUUAAACACACUUGCAGUGCUACACCGGCAUCUGGUACUGCCGGAACGGCAACUGUGACUGUAGAAAUCAAGAACAAGCUCGAGUACAGUAAUACUCACUAUGUGGUGUGCGUCGCUGAUGGAGCUACUGCCGGUAUGCAAGCCACAUUUGUUGUACAGUAACCGUUUCAGUAUUCCUAAGCUAACUAUUAAUAGUUGUGGUUCAUCAAUAUACUAAAAUGACAUAAUGUAAAAAAUACAUUCAGAUUUUCAAUCUCUUUUAGUACGAAUUAAGUUAACAGUCAAUGUCUAUUAUACAAUAAAAUACAUACAUGUCACUCAGCAUCUGUUUGUGGUGCGGUGAAUGUUUCUGCACAAGUUCUUUUAUUGCAUGAACGACGGUUGGGACCUAAACUAUCGCAGAUAAGGCCAUCGAUGACACAAUCGCCUAUACAGAAGAGCCGGCGAAUCCAUGUUGAUUGAAUCAAACGACGUGGAUCGUUUUUGACUACGGUGCAACGACUGGAGUCGUGACCGUCAUGUCCACACUUGAUAUGAAAAUACUCGGAGGUCAGGAGCUCACCCUGAUAGCGACCCCUGCCGCCAGUAGCUCCUCUGACACCAGGGCGGCUACCGCAACGCUGUGGAUUGCCAUUUGAGCCUGUGGCAGCAGCGCCCUGCAGAUCACCGUCAUGAUGGGAAUCGUGAUGAUGUCGUUUGCGACUGAAUUGUUCCUUUAAGUGUUCACUUUCUAUGCACGAACAUACUGCAGCCAACAAAAACAUAUUGUUUGUUUCUUUCAAUCUGAAUCCUCCAAACAUUUGACAUAUCAAACUACACAUACCAAACUAAAAUUCUCAAUUUGCAUGGACCCAUACUGUAAAUGGAAUUAUGUUUUGUUAAUCAUCGUUGUUAAUGACAAACGUUAAUUGGAUCAUUUUAUUUUGACAGUUGUGUUGUAUAUUUUGUCUAUUUAUUAACAAAUAAUAGUCCUGUAGGAGUAACCGUCAAGGUUUAUGAUAUUAUGGUUAUUUUUUUCUCUUUUGAUUUGUGUUGCUGUGAUAUUAACAUAUAAAAUAAAAUACAAAGUCUGUGUA